UUCAGAUCUGUUGUUCAUCUUUCUUUCACCGUUUGCUCUUCUGAGUUUCUCAUUUUGUUACCUCUUCUUCCCCCUUACCCUAGCAGCGCCGCUGCUCACAUGGGAGAGAAUUGAACUCGAUAGAGGUUGCUGGGCGUGGCGAUAGGAACACGGAGGCUGGGAAGCUCUGAUCUUCAAUCCGAGACACAUUGUGUACCAAAGAAAACAUGAAGCCAUGAAGGAACUCAGAGAGUUGACAGCAGAGCAUCCAUGGUGAAAGUGACUGUUCGGCUGUUCCCAAUGUUUAAUUUAUUUUGUUAGAUUUUAUGGAAAGACUGAGGCACAAGCAGUGGUGCUUACAUUGACUUGACUUAUGGCCUUCAAAGAGGCGCAAGAUCUUAUGGAUUUUAAUGGGACAAAUAUGGAUUGCAGAGUUUGGGGAUUAGAAGAGCAUUUCGACGUAGAAAUGGUCCUCCUGAAUCAAUUGACGCAUCUACCUCCUCUUCACUAGGUAAUCUCUCUCAGCCAGGCCUUUUGUUCAUUGCUUCUCAUAAUAUUUCUCAUUUCGGUGGGUCACUAAUCUGUUUUUUCGUCAUUUUUGUUUUUUAUUUACUUUUGGUUUUCAUGGUAGAAAAUUGUGGAGUUCCAUUGCUCGCAUGCUGCACACUUUGAAAUGGAGUUUGGGUGCUCAAAAUGUGAGAGGGAUAAACUUUGCUUCCCAUAGUACCAUUAAGAAAGCGUGAUUCUUUUGCAAGCAAUUUCUUAGUAGAAUAAUUAUGACUUAUGAGUCAUUCCUUCAUUUGUUUCUUCUUUUCUACGGCCAGAGAAAUAAUCAAGGUAUUUCUUGGAAAAGAACAGCAAAUUGAAUUUCAUCUUACUCUGCUGCUAUUCUUCAUUAGACUCACCCCAUAAACUGAACAACAACCCACAUACAAACCAUGCAAAACUUAUAGAAAGUGUAGUGUAUGCAAUAUGCUUAUUGAACCUGAUAACUUUCUAAAGCAUGACUGACGACUUACCUUUGAAAGGUUUUUCUUUUAUUUUCUUCCAAUUUGUUUUUCUCACUUCUUUCUUCUCCAUGUUUGUGAUCAAAGGAGAGGGUAAUUUGAGAUUUUGUGCAUGCAUGGAAGUGUAAGAUUCGUUUAAUUGUUUGUUUUUAUUAAGGAAUUAAAGGUCAUUGAAAGAGUGAAGAGGAAGAGCCGUAUACAGGUUGUGCUUUUCUCAAGUAUUUUCCCUUAAUUUACUUUGGAUCUGUUUAUCUCUUUGAGUUAAAUUUCUUUAGUGGUCUAUCAAAUCGUUUAGAUCUUUUUGUUUGGUGUUCUCUGUUCUUUAUUUUCCAACUUUCUUUCUUGGACAUGUAUAUUUGAUCUGCAAAUAAUGUAUGGAAAUCUCUUACACAGCAGAGUUAAUGUUGAGGAAUCAGGAGCAGGAACAAUUGACAACAAAGCAAGCUCGCAUUGCAUCACUGAUGCCUGAAAAGCAGGACUUGGGAGAGAAUCGUUGCAUCUUGGAUGAUGCUUACAAUUUGUUCCAUUAUUAAUUGCACACAACUUUGAAUGGUGUCGAUACUCACGGCAAUUAUGCAGCUGAAUUAAUAGAGCCAUUAGUAUAUCAUGGAAAUUGAAAUUGAAACUGUUGUUAGAACAAUAAUAAUGCAGUUUGGGAUUUGAGGUUGCUAGAGAUUAUUGGACUGUUAAACAUUUUGGGUGAAAUGUUCCCACUAUCUCUUUUCCCCGCUAUUGAAUCAAAUUGAAUCCAAUAAUUAUUAUUAUUU
Molecule: long non-coding RNA, 1753 nt
Organism: Lotus japonicus
Lineage: Eukaryota; Viridiplantae; Streptophyta; Magnoliopsida; Fabales; Fabaceae
Exons: 6
Source: RefSeq, a predicted model, not a curated record